Molecule: ribosomal RNA, 397 nt
Filed under: uncultured bacterium
Lineage: Bacteria
Description: bacterial SSU rRNA
Rfam family: Bacterial small subunit ribosomal RNA
Source: RNAcentral
UCUUGCGCAAUGGGCGAAAGCCUGACGCAGCGACGCCGCGUGCAGGACGAAGUCCUUCGGGAUGUAAACUGCUUUUGCCAGGAAAGAUUAUGACGGUACCUGGUGAAUAAGCCCCGGCUAACUACGUGCCAGCAGCCGCGGUAAGACGUAGGGGGCGAGCGUUGUCCGGAUUCACUGGGCGUAAAGAGCGCGUAGGCGGCCUGUUAAGUCAGGAGUGAAAUCUCCAGGGCUCAACCCGGAAAUUGCUUCUGAUACUGGCAGGCUAGAGGGUCAGAGAGGUGAUUGGAAUUCCCGGUGUAGCGGUGACAUGCAUUGAUAUCGGGAGGAACACCCGUGGCGAAGGCGGAUCACUGGCUGACUCCUGACGCUGAGGCGCGAAAGCGUGGGGAGCGAACAG